AUGAACGCUUGCGGCGUGCCUAAUACCUGCAAGUCGAGCGCACGGACGAGAAGCUUGCUUCUCUGAUGUUAGCGGCGGACGGGUGAGUAACACGUGGAUAACCUACCUAUAAGACUGGGAUAACUUCGGGAAACCGGAGCUAAUACCGGAUAAUAUUUUGAACCGCAUGGUUCAAAAGUGAAAGACGGUCUUGCUGUCACUUAUAGAUGGAUCCGCGCUGCAUUAGCUAGUUGGUAAGGUAACGGCUUACCAAGGCAACGAUGCAUAGCCGACCUGAGAGGGUGAUCGGCCACACUGGAACUGAGACACGGUCCAGACUCCUACGGGAGGCAGCAGUAGGGAAUCUUCCGCAAUGGGCGAAAGCCUGACGGAGCAACGCCGCGUGAGUGAUGAAGGUCUUCGGAUCGUAAAACUCUGUUAUUAGGGAAGAACAUAUGUGUAAGUAACUGUGCACAUCUUGACGGUACCUAAUCAGAAAGCCACGGCUAACUACGUG
This 496-nucleotide ribosomal RNA is filed under the name uncultured bacterium. Its description in RNAcentral is "partial 16S ribosomal RNA". It matches the Rfam family "Bacterial small subunit ribosomal RNA", at positions 29 to 507 of the family's 1533-position model. The record is from RNAcentral.